Molecule: transfer RNA, 69 nt
Filed under: Sparisoma chrysopterum (redtail parrotfish)
Lineage: Eukaryota; Metazoa; Chordata; Actinopteri; Labriformes; Labridae
Description: tRNA-Met
Source: RNAcentral
AACAAAGUAAGCUAAAGAAGCUAUUGGGCCCAUACCCCAACAAUGUUGGCUAACAUCCGACCUUUGUUA